AAAGACGUGCUGCUACACAUGCAGUCGAGCGGAUGACGGAGCUUGCUCCUGUGUUCAGCGGCGGACGGGUGAGUAAUGUCUAGGAAUCUGCCUGGUAGUGGGGGAUAACGUUUCGAAAGGUACGCUAAUACCGCAUACGUCCUACGGGAGAAAGUGGGGGAUCUUCGGGCCUCUGUCGCUAUCGGAUGAGCCUAUGUCGGAUUAGCUAGUUGGUGAGGUAAUGGCCUCACCAAGGCAACGAUCCGUAGCUGGUCUGAGAGGAUGACUCAGCCACACUGGAACUGAGACACGGUCCAGACUCCUACGGGAGGCAGCAGUGGGGAAUUUUGGACAAUGGGCGAAAGCCUGAUCCAGCCAUGCCGCGUGUGUGAAGAAGGCCUUCGGAUUGUAAAGCUCUUUUGUCUGGGAGGAACGGUUGUAAAUUAAUACUCUGCGCUAUUGACGUUACCGACAGAAUAAGCACCGGCUAACUCUGUGCCAGCAGCCGCGGUAAUACAUAGGGUGCAAGCGUUAAUCGGAAUUACUGGGCGUAAAGCGCGCGCAGGUGGUUCUGUAAGUCUGAUGUGAAAUCCCCGGGCUCACCUGGGAUUGCAUUGCAACUGACGAGCUAGAGUCUGUAGAGGGUGGUGGAUUUCCUGUGUAGCGGUGAAUGCGUAGAUAUAUUUCCGUUAAAGCGUGCAAUGGCGUAGAUUAGGAAAGGAACGCCGUUGCGAAGGGUGACCCCUUGGCCUGAUCACUGACAUUGAGGUCGAAAAACGUGGGGAGCAAACAGGAUUAGAUACCUUGGUAGUCCACGCCGCAAACGAUGUCAACUAGCCGUUGGGAGCCUUGAGCUCUUAGUGGCGCAGCUAACGCAUUAAGUUGACCGCAUGGCGAGUACGGCCGCAAGGUUAAAACUCAAAUGAAUUGACGGGGGCCCGCACAAGCGGUGGAGCAUGUGGUUUAAUUUGAAGCAACGCGAAGAACCUUACCAGGCCUUGACAUCCAAUGAACUUUCUAGAGAUGGAUUGGUGCAUUCGGGAACAGUGAGACAGGUGCCGCAUGGCUGUCGUCAGCUCGUGUCGUGAGAUGUUGGAUUAAGUCCCGUAACGAGCGCAACCCGUGUCCUUAGUUACCAGCACGUCAUGGUGGGCACUCUAAGGAGACUGCCGGUGACAAACCGGAGGAAGGUGGGGAUGACGUCAAGUCAUCAUGGCCCUUACGGCCUGGGCUACACACGUGCUACAAUGGUCGGUACAGAGGGUUGCCAAGCCGCGAGGUGGAGCUAAUCCCAUAAAACCGAUCGUAGUCCGGAUCGCAGUCUGCAACUCGACUGCGUGAAGUCGGAAUCGCUAGUAAUCGCGAAUCAGAAUGUCGCGGUGAAUACGUUCCCGGGCCUUGUACACACCGCCCGUCACACCAUGGGAGCGGGUUGCACCAGAAGUAGCUAGUCUAACCUUCGGGAGGACGGUUACCACGGUGUAUUCAUGANUGGGGGAAGUCGANCAAGUGCACG
RNAcentral lists this ribosomal RNA (1495 nucleotides) under bacterium THCL21. Its description in RNAcentral is "bacterial SSU rRNA". It matches the Rfam family "Bacterial small subunit ribosomal RNA". The record is from RNAcentral.